Long non-coding RNA from Xiphophorus hellerii (green swordtail), 544 nucleotides. RefSeq lists it as uncharacterized. The transcript is spliced from 2 exons. The record is from RefSeq and is a predicted model, not a curated record. NCBI's taxonomy places the organism in Eukaryota, Metazoa, Chordata, Actinopteri, Cyprinodontiformes, Poeciliidae.
AGCCUCUUCCUCAGCUGCCUCAGGCGGUGAUCCUCACACGUCUCAGCUGCUUUGGUCAGGAAACAGUUGAUCCAAACGUUCACCUGUUGGCUGAACCUGAAUGACUCGGCUGUGAUGUUUGAGGUCCGAGUCGCCGACAGGACGACCGUCGAUCCGACCCGCCCUCACAGCGGCCGGGUUCUGCUCUCUGACUGCGUCUCCCAUCACAGCGAGGCUCACGUACGCUGGCUUCCUGUCAGUCGUCUUCAUCUCUUCUGGAUGAUGAUGAUGCUGCUCUGGUGUCUCAUGGUUCACCUCUUCUUCUUCUGGUACUAUUAACACGAUGGAAAGAGAUCACAGAGAGAAACUUAACAUAAAAAGAAACUGAGAUUCUGUUCUUCAAUUAACUUUAGAAAGAAGAACUUAUGGCACAAAUUUGGAUGGAUUUUCUCUAAUCCACACAUGGUCAUAAUUACACAUACAGGUAAAAUAUGAAUAAUAACUCAGUUAGACGUCCUUUAGUAAACUGCGCUUCUGUAGUCACCAACGAGCUGCUGGUAUAAUU